AACUUUUGGAAAUGGAUCUCUUGGUUCUGGCAUCGAUGAAGAACGCAGCGAAAUGCGAUACGUAUUGUGAAUUGCAGAAUUCAGUGAAUCAUCGAAUCUUUGACCGCACAUUGCGACCGGUGGUAUUCCGCCGGGCAUGCCUGUUCGAGCGUCAUUUAAACCAAUCCAGCCUCGUGCUUGGGUCUUGGGCCUUUCGCCUCUGGGCGGGCCUUAAAAUCAGUGGCGGUGCCAUCUGGCUCUAAGCGUAGUAAUACUCCUCGCUAUAGACGUCUGAUGGUGUCUUGCCAACAACCCCUAAUUUUUACAGGUUGACCUCGGAUCAGGUAGGGAUACCCGCUGAACUUAAGCAUAUCAAUAAGCGGACG
RNAcentral lists this unclassified non-coding RNA (365 nucleotides) under uncultured Leotiomycetes. RNAcentral describes it as "sequence contains ITS2". The stretch from base 1 to 154 matches the Rfam family "5.8S ribosomal RNA". Lineage: Eukaryota; Fungi; Ascomycota; Leotiomycetes. The record is from RNAcentral.